This 395-nucleotide ribosomal RNA is filed under the name uncultured bacterium. RNAcentral's name for it is "partial 16S ribosomal RNA". It matches the Rfam family "Bacterial small subunit ribosomal RNA", at positions 523 to 918 of the family's 1533-position model. The record is from RNAcentral.
AUACGUAGGGUGCAAGCGUUAAUCGGAAUUACUGGGCGUAAAGCGUGCGCAGGCGGUUUUGUAAGACAGUGGUGAAAUCCCCGGGCUCAACCUGGGGACUGGCAUUGUGACUGCAAGGCCAGAGUACGGCAGCGGGGGAUGGAAUUUCGCGUGUAGCAGUGAAAUGCGUAGAUAUGCGGAGGAACACCGAUGGCGAAGGCAAUCCCCUGGGCCUGUACUGACGCUCAUGCACGAAAGCGUGGGGAGCAAACAGGAUUAGAUACCCUGGUAGUCCACGCCCUAAACGAUGUCAACUGGUUGUUGGGUCUUAACUGACUCAGUAACGAAGCUAACGCGUGAAGUUGACCGCCUGGGGAGUACGGCCGCAAGGUUGAAACUCAAAUGAAUUGGCGGGG